RNAcentral lists this ribosomal RNA (301 nucleotides) under uncultured bacterium. Its description in RNAcentral is "partial 16S ribosomal RNA". It matches the Rfam family "Bacterial small subunit ribosomal RNA", at positions 509 to 809 of the family's 1533-position model. The record is from RNAcentral.
CAGUAGCCGCGGUAAAACGGAGGGUGCAAGCGUUAAUCGGAAUUACUGGGCGUAAAGCGCACGCAGGCGGUCUGACAAGUCAGAUGUGAAAUCCCCGGGCUUAACCUGGGAACUGCAUUUGAAACUGUCAGGCUGGAGUCUUGUAGAGGGGGGUGGAAUUCCAGGUGUAGCGGUGAAAUGCGUAGAGAUCUGGAGGAAUACCGGUGGCGAAGGCGGCCCCCUGGACAAAGACUGACGCUCAGGUGCGAAAGCGUGGGGAGCAAACAGGAUUAGAUACCCCGGUAGUCCCUGUCUCUUAUAA